CCCGAACAAUGGAAGGGAAGAAGGAAAGGAGGGGCUGAGGAAGGAAACAGACACUGACCAAAGCCCAGAGGUUGGAAACCAUGGCCACAUAAGACAUGCUGGCUUCUCCUUCGCUUUCCACCAUGAUUGUAAGUUUCCUGAGACCUCCCCAGCCAUGCUUCCUGUAUAGCCUGCAGAACUCUCUUAAAAGCAGAGAUGAAGAGAAAAGAGUGAGUUCAAAAGACAGAGCAUGAGAAAGACCCCACCCGCUAUUACUGGC
This is a long non-coding RNA of Pan troglodytes (chimpanzee), 259 nucleotides long. RefSeq lists it as uncharacterized. NCBI's taxonomy places the organism in Eukaryota, Metazoa, Chordata, Mammalia, Primates, Hominidae. The record is from RefSeq and is a predicted model, not a curated record. The transcript is spliced from 3 exons.